This 500-nucleotide ribosomal RNA is filed under the name uncultured Glomeromycotina. Its description in RNAcentral is "partial small subunit ribosomal RNA". It matches the Rfam family "Eukaryotic small subunit ribosomal RNA", at positions 591 to 1092 of the family's 1831-position model. Lineage: Eukaryota; Fungi; Glomeromycota. The record is from RNAcentral.
CCAAUAGCGUAUAUUAAAGUUGUUGCAGUUAAAAAGCUCGUAGUUGAAUUUCGGGAUCAAUAUGUCGGUCGUGCCUUCGGUACGUACUGGUAUCAUUGGUCUCUCCUUUCUGACGAACCAUGGUGUCAUUAAUUUGGUGUUAUGGGGAGUUAGGACUGUUACUUUGAAAAAAUUAGAGUGUUUAAAGCAGGCUUUAGCUUGAAUACAUUAGCAUGGAAUAAUGAAAUAGGACGUUCGAACCUAUUUUGUUGGUUUCUAGGAUCAACGUAAUGAUUAAUAGGGAUAGUUGGGGGCAUUAGUAUUCAAUUGUCAGAGGUGAAAUUCUUGGAUUUAUUGAAGACUAACUACUGCGAAAGCAUUUGCCAAGGAUGUUUUCAUUAAUCAAGAACGAAAGUUAGGGGAUCGAAGACGAUCAGAUACCGUCGUAGUCUUAACCAUAAACUAUGCCGACUAGGGAUCGGAUGAUGUUAAUUUUUUAAUGACUCAUUCGGCGCCUUACG